Long non-coding RNA from Oncorhynchus tshawytscha (Chinook salmon), 1603 nucleotides. RefSeq lists it as uncharacterized. NCBI's taxonomy places the organism in Eukaryota, Metazoa, Chordata, Actinopteri, Salmoniformes, Salmonidae. The record is from RefSeq and is a predicted model, not a curated record. The transcript is spliced from 3 exons.
UGUGUGGAAUGACAGCUUCCUAUAUUCAAAUCCACUGGCGCCGAAGCAAAAGCUAAACUCUGAUAAAUUCGGCCUACUAUCAGAAAGUAUACUGUAGCUCCAAUUUUCCAAACAACUUGUCGUGAUUUUCGUAAGUCAAAAAGUAGCCAACGUUAGAUAGCUAGCUAGUCAUAAACCGGAAGAACGGAUAUCAUAUCAGUAACAUUGGCAUGCUAGCUAUCUGGCGGACUAACAGCUGAGUUAGCUACGUAGCUAAAGUUAGUUACUACAGCCGCGUUUUUGUGCAAGAUUUGAUUUGGCAAGAAAUAUACUGCUAGCACUGGGUUGAUGGUUAACGGUAACCCUUGUUUGCGUGGUCAGCUGCUGUACAGUAGUCAGCAAAUGGCUGUUUAAAAACUGUGUUUACAUAGCUACCAAGAUACUUUUUUUAAACCCAUUUCGCCCAGUGCACUGUCUGUUAUGCACAUUAAUGAACCAUACCUGAAGAAGUUGAGAAAACAUCUAAUUUGACAUAUUUCUUACACUCUACUUUGGGACAGUUCUUUACAGCAAAAACUCAUACACUUCAAAUUGACAAAACUGAUGCUGUUAUUUGACUAUAUAGAUAUUUGACACAACAACAACUUUACAGCUAAAACACGACAGUGAGUGAGUCUGUGCAAGCCACGUGCAUUCUGACCGUAGUCUAAAUGAUCUGGUCCACAAAAACCUUCGCAGUGGAAUUUAUAAUAACAUUACCCAGUACUCAUUUGUUUAACAAUGAGAAAUUAUUUGGUCAGGUUUGUGUUUACACUGAGAAGAUUGAACAUGGUUCAAUUAAGUCUAAUGUUUUGCGCAAGAUUAAGGACUUUUGAGUCCCUCCUCAUGGUUACCAAGGAUGGAUUUAGAAACAUUGUGGCAUUGCAAAGUGAUGCACCCCUGCAGAUGGGCCACAAACAUUACCUGUCUCUUUGGAAUAAUGAGGGUCCUGAAAGCAGAGUAUAGGUUCUAGAUGGUAAAAUCAGAAUUUCAGUUGCUAACUAUUGUGGUAAUUACAAUGGUGAUUACCUGAAACAGGUGAGUAGUAUCUAUAUCAUAAUAACACUUUACACAUAUACCAUCUCUUCUCUACUCAACCCUGACAAUAUAAUUAACGUUUCUUUGAAUGUUGUCUGUAUGAAGUGUCUCAUCAGGAUUGGCACUCUUUGUGUAUUUCUCCAUGCUCCAGACUUACUUUGAGGUCGCAGACCAAAGUGUCACCAUGCCCCUGGUCAUGUAGAAUGAGCUGUGGCCCGAGUGGUACCAGAGACUGAAUGUUGGAACUGUGCUCUACCUCCAAAACUACACCCUCAAGCAGAGUAUAAUCCAAACAGGUCUCGACCUGACAUAGACAACCACAGAAUGAAGAGCUUUCACUCAGUAGAAAUCUGUCUGAAUCUUUGGACUCCCACUGCACUCCUUACUGUGGUUCCAGCCAAGUGUGCAGUCUCAAUGGGGCUUGCCUAAGGUUUCCUACUAGUUCACCACCAGAUAAGAAUUGAAGAACAAUUCUGCAUGUGAUGUCAUUUGGCUUGGUAAUUUUUGUGGGUCGGGUGGAGAGAGUCAAGAGUAAGGGGUCCGCAGG